AAAGAGCGCGCCUUCCGCGGCGCGCGCCGCCCCGCCUUGUCUCGGCGGCGGCUCCACGGUAUGGCGGAGAUGAUUUUUUUUUUUAAUUUUUCUCAGCAUAGAGGGAGAUCCUUCCGAAGGUAGCUCGUGAAACCUCCCGUCCCUCCAAGCAUGAGCCGACUUAGCGAUGUUUCCGAACCGAAGGGCUGCUCCGGGUUCCUGGGUCUGAAGUUCUUCCCGCGGCUACAACCAAAGCUCCAGCUGAGGAGCAACGUAUUUCACAGGUUCCAGGAGACAGAAAGGUAUGCGCCCCAACUGUAGAGUAAACCUGAGGAGCCACAGCCCAGAGACUGCAAACUGUGUCAGACGAACCAAGAAGCAACCGGACAGCUGCUGACCUCAAGGAUUUGGAGGUCAGUUGAUGGCCCAUGGAACCUAGCAUCUCAAAGGAGCAGAUUUUCAUUUUAUACCUGAGCAGCUGGCCUGGAAUAAUAAAUCACCCACACAUUUAAAAGUCUCUAUGAUAAUCACAAAAUAGUCCAAUACAUGUUAUUUACACUUAGCAAGCAGAGGAAGAAACCAAAGCGCACAACACGAUCAAAUGAUUGGCCUAAAGGUAGAGCAAAUUCAAGAGCAGACCUUUUCAUAGAACUUGGUAUCCCCGCUCGUGAUCCUUCGAUCCAUCUAAGAAGCCUCAAGCCUCGCUGCCUCUGUCUUCUCAGAGAGCCUCCUGAAUUACAAAUGAGGAGGAAGGAAAACAGCAAGAGUAAAUAUACUAAGCAGAAGUUCAGAUUGCCCUCGGGGACUACCCCCUUCCUUCAUCUACUAGAAUGUCACUGCUGUAUAUUAAAACCUCAAUUAAAAACAUCAGUUGUCCAUCAUGGAGAGGGGAAGAGGCCCAGAUAACACAAGAAGCCCCAAACCAGCCAAUAUCCUUUCUAAUGUGGCUUUCAUAUCCAGUCAGUGAUAUUCCAAAGAUACACAAAUGACACCCUCUGUGAUGAUCUCUGCUCACUGCCCUUGUGGGUCAUAGCUCUGUGCAUGAGCCCCAAAUCUUGCCUGGGUACACUUCCCUCUGUAGAACUCCAAGCAAGGGUCCCUUUUGGUGUCAUUUGUUCUUAGGAGCUACAGAUGACAACAUUAUGUCCUCUUUCCAGUGACAAAAGAGAAUGUAAAGGGAGCCCAUAGAAAGAGGGACUUGGAUCUGUAGAGGCACAAAAUGUGUCAGUCGCUGUGGGUUACUGUCCUCUCCUUAAAGAGGUAACAGUCUAUAGAGAACUCAUAAAUCACGUUUUCAUAGACUUCUUUUUUUUUUAAUACUUAAUGUUUUGUAGAGUGUCAGAGAAGUGUGCAAGUAUUCCCAAAUAUAUUCAGUAGAUGUGCCCUGUGGUAAUUAAGCAACGAGCACCUCUAAAAUAUAAAAUUAGUAAAUGUAUUCAGCAGUUUUUUUUUUAAUUACUAGAUAUAGGGGAUAUUAUCUGAACCUGGUUGACCUAAUUUCAGUCAUAGGCAAUGAUCAUUGUGGUAUCUAAGUGAUAAAUUCUAAGCUCAGGUGAAAGUGCAAACAGUUUUUAAAAAUUGGCAACAUAGGGGCGCCUGGGUGGCUCAGUGGGUUAAGCCUCUGCCCUUGGCUCAGG
This is a long non-coding RNA of Neogale vison (American mink), 1616 nucleotides long. RefSeq lists it as uncharacterized. The record is from RefSeq and is a predicted model, not a curated record. NCBI's taxonomy places the organism in Eukaryota, Metazoa, Chordata, Mammalia, Carnivora, Mustelidae. The transcript is spliced from 3 exons.